GGCGGCACGCCUAACACAUGCAAGUCGAGCGGCAGCGAGAGUAGUAGCAAUACUACUUGUCGGCGAGCGGCGGACGGGUGAGGAACACGUAGGAAUCUGCCCAGAAGAGGGGGAUAACCAAGGGAAACUUUGGCUAAUACCGCAUAAUCUCGAGAGAGAAAAGCUGCCCGCAAGGGUGGCGCUUUUGGAGGAGCCUGCGUCCGAUUAGCUAGUUGGUAGGGUAAAGGCCUACCAAGGCGAUGAUCGGUAACUGGUCUGAGAGGACGACCAGUCACACUGGGACUGAGACACGGCCCAGACUCCUACGGGAGGCAGCAGUGGGGAAUAUUGGACAAUGGGGGCAACCCUGAUCCAGCGAUGCCGCGUGAGUGAAGAAGGCCUUCGGGUCGUAAAGCUCUUUAGGUUGGGAAGAAGAGUAUGAGGGU
Molecule: ribosomal RNA, 425 nt
Filed under: uncultured Gammaproteobacteria bacterium
Lineage: Bacteria; Pseudomonadati; Pseudomonadota; Gammaproteobacteria
Description: bacterial SSU rRNA
Rfam family: Bacterial small subunit ribosomal RNA
Source: RNAcentral